This 1970-nucleotide unclassified non-coding RNA is filed under the name Hevea brasiliensis (rubber tree). The record is from RNAcentral. Lineage: Eukaryota; Viridiplantae; Streptophyta; Magnoliopsida; Malpighiales; Euphorbiaceae.
UUCGGACAAAAAAAAAAGGAAUUUUGGGCCCAAGGCUCAUUCCAACAUAAUUGCCACUACUAUAUAAAAUGCCAGCCUUAGCCCUUGAUGUUCCCAAAGGCAAGAUGCCCAAUGCCAUUCUUAAUUUCUCAUAACGCCGGUGCAGAACAUGAAGUAAAAGAGGCAUUCAUCUGUUUGCAUAUAUACCCCAGAUGACUGGAAGUUGACCAUCAAUGUAAGAGCAACUUCUUUUAUACAUUACCAAUCAUGGUUAAACCUAUUGGAACACUUUGCAAAUGCUUAUUUUACUGGAAACUCUCUAAACCUUAAUUUUGCAAUGGAUUAAGCACCACCUGAAUUCCAUGUCGUGGGCCAAUUGUGAGAUUCUGAACUGGUGAGUGAACAUAGGUGGGGGAAUGAGUGAUGGCGUAGCGCUGUAGAAUCAUUGACAGAGCUAUCUUAGCUUCAGUAAUUGCAAAGUUGAAGCCUAUACAAGUUCGAGGACCCAGGCCAAAGGGUAAAUAUGCAGCCUUAUUGUUGUUUGUAGCUUUAGCAAGUCCUUCUGAGAAUCUUUCUGGUUUAAAAAGAUGAACAUCUUCACCCCAAGUAAGAGGAUCAUGGUGGACUAAAAGAGUUGAGAUUUGCAGGUUUACAUCAGCAGGCAGAGUGAGCUUCCCCAACCGAACUUUUCUGUCUACUUUUCUUACAAAUCCAGUCACAGGAGGAUAUAAUCUUAGUGUUUCAUUGAUGAUCAUUCCCAUUAUCUUCAGCUUUGCAAUUCCAUCUGCAUUUGGAGUUUGGUGACCCAAAAUCUUGAAAACCUCAUUCCUUGCUUCCUCUUGCCAUUCUGAAUGGAUUGCUAGAAGUAGGACGGCCCAUGAGAGCAAUACAUUAGUGGUUUCUUGUCCAGCGACAUAUAGUGUCUUGCAUUCAUCAAUCACAUCUUUUAAUGAAAUCCUCUUGGAUUGAUCAUCAUCAUGAUAAGCCUUUAGUAGAAUUCCCAGAAAAUCAUCUCCAUAGUUCUCUACAUCUCCAGCCAUCACUUCAUCUUCUCUCUUUUUAAUUAUUUGUAAAAUGGAGUUUUCUAUUUGUUUCUCAAGCUUCUCUGCCUCAAUUUCAUCUCCAGUUUUCCAAAUCUCACUGAUACCAGGUAGCUUAAUCUUGAAAGCAUUUCUGCCUACUAACAUGGUUAACUUUGUUAACAUGUCAAAAAUCUUCUUUCCUUCUUCAUAACUACUUCCAAAAGCUGCCCUAGAAAUUGCAUCAGAUGUCAGUAAUUUAAACUCUUCAACCACCUCAAUCUCUUUGCCUUGAUGAUUUUUCCACCUUUCCAGCACCAUCUGAGCGCUAGCAAUCAUUGCUGGAAUCAUAUUCUUUAAGGUCUCUGCGUUGAAAGCAUAGUUAGCCAAUUUCCUCAUCUUAGACCAUUUUUCACCUCCAGAUGCAGCGACCCCAUCUCCUAUUAGCUUUCUAAUGAAAGCAUGCACCUCUGCUUUUGGAUAGAUCUUAUCUCUAUUAUUUAGAAUCUCUCUUAUCAGCUCUGGCUCUGAAAUAAGCAACAUAGGUCGAGUACCCAACCAAUACAGAAAACUUGUCCCUAUCAAGGGACACAGCAAAAACAAGAAAAACCCUGUAAAUUUCAUAAUGGAACUGAGAUUAAAACUAAAUAAAUGAAAAAAAGAAAGGUUAGCAGCUCAUUACCAUACAUCUUGGUCCACGAGUGAAUAUGAGGUUGGAUUCUGGAAUACGUGUCGUGCGAGAGAUCCUUCAUGGGUCUACUCAUAGAUAAAUUUCUCAUUUUGGUAAUUUCUUUGGCGUUUCCAUAAAUGAAUCUGUAGGAAGGGCCUCUGAUUCCCUGUGAAGUCAUAAGAUGUUGAAUGCGCGUGGGUGUCCACCAAACUCUGUGAAGGAACUUGAAGAGAUUUGAGAGGAGGUAGAGACACAGAGAGCUUGAAAGAAGGAUUAAAAAAAUUGCUAAAGCAGCCAUUGUU